Molecule: long non-coding RNA, 277 nt
Filed under: Physcomitrium patens
Lineage: Eukaryota; Viridiplantae; Streptophyta; Bryopsida; Funariales; Funariaceae
Description: long non-coding RNA (PPAT_LNC012015)
Source: RNAcentral
CGCUUUGUACUUACGAUCUUGUAUCCACUGACUGUCUUGUUAGAUUAAUCCAAUAAAUUUCAUUCACUCCGCAUACUCAAUCCUAUAAACACCCUUUUAAUCCUUUAAUCACAGACGUAACUCGAUUAUACAAAACAGUCAAGAGUACUCAAACCCACUUCAUUAAAAAUCCCGAUUCACCAUUACAACACUGACUUCAGCAACGAUUGCCUCAGUCUUCCCAAAACUCUAUGAAGAAGAAAAAUCCAAUUCUUCGUCUUUUCUUCUCCGAUCCGAA